Molecule: non-coding RNA, 776 nt
Filed under: Epinotia rubiginosana
Lineage: Eukaryota; Metazoa; Arthropoda; Insecta; Lepidoptera; Tortricidae
Source: RNAcentral
AAUAAAUUUUUUAUGAUUUUUGAAAUUUAAUUUAAUUUAUUUUACAUAUAAAUUUUAGUGUUAAAUUUUAAUUAUUUUAAUAAUAAUUAAUUUAUUUUAUAGUAAUUUACAUUAAAAAUUUAAGAAAUUAAGAUUUAGUAAUAUAAAAAUUAAUAGCAAAUUUUGUGCCAGCAGUUGCGGUUAUACAAAAAUUAAAUUAAAUUUUAUUAGGUUAUUAAUAAAUAUAUUUAAAUAUUUAAUUUAAAUAUUAAAUUAUUAAGUGAAAUUUUAAUUUAAUUAAAAAUUAUUAAAAGUUAAUAUGAUUUAAUAAAUUUUAUUAUAAACUAGGAUUAGAUACCCUAUUAUUAAAAAUUUAAAUUUAAAUACUAAAAUAGUAUAUAAUUAUUUAUUGAAACUUAAAUAAUUUGGCGGUAUUUUAGUUUAUUUAGAGGAAUCUGUUUAUUAAUUGAUAAUCCACGAAUAAAUUUACUUAAUUAAAAAUUUUGUAUAUCGUUGUUAAAAAAAUAUUUUUAAAUAAUUUUAAUAUUUUAAAUUUUUAAAUGAAAUUAAAUCAGAUCAAGAUGCAGAUUAUAAUUAAGAAUAUAAUGGAUUACAAUAAAUUUAUUUAUAUGAAUAUUUAAUUGAAAGUUAAAUAGAAGGUGGAUUUAAAUGUAAUUUUAUUUAAUUUAUUAAAAUGAUUAAAAAUUAAAAUAUGUACAUAUUGCCCGUCGCUUUCAUUAAUAAAUUGAAAUAAGUCGUAACAAAGUAGAAGUACUGGAAAGUGUUUCUAGAAAGAC